Molecule: ribosomal RNA, 460 nt
Filed under: uncultured bacterium
Lineage: Bacteria
Description: partial 16S ribosomal RNA
Rfam family: Bacterial small subunit ribosomal RNA
Source: RNAcentral
CCUACGGGUGGCAGCAGUGAGGCAUAUUGGUCAAUGGGCGCGAGCCUGAACCAGCCAAGUAGCGUGACGGAUGACUGCCCUACGGGUUGUAAACUUCUUUUAUAAAGGAAUAAAGUGUGGCACGUGUGCCUUUUUGUAUGUCAUUUAUGAAUAAGGAUCGGCUAACUCCGUGCCAGCAGCCGCGGGAAUACGGAGGAUCCGAGCGUUAUCCGGAUUUAUUGGGUUUCAAGGGAGCGUAGAUGGGUUGUUAAGUCAGUUGUGAAAGUUUGCGGCUCAACCGUAAAAUUGCCAUUGAUACUGGCAGCCUUGAGUACAGUAGAGGUAGGCGGAAUUCGUGGUGUAGCGGUGAAAUGCUUAGAUAUCACGAAGAACUACGAUUGCGAAGGCAGCAUACUAAACUGCCACUGACAUUGAGGCUCGAAAGUGUGGGUAUCAAACAGGAUUAGAUACCCCUGUAGUC